This 326-nucleotide unclassified non-coding RNA is filed under the name uncultured fungus. RNAcentral describes it as "partial contains small subunit ribosomal RNA, internal transcribed spacer 1, and 5.8S ribosomal RNA". The stretch from base 1 to 73 matches the Rfam family "Eukaryotic small subunit ribosomal RNA", at positions 1759 to 1831 of the family's 1831-position model. The record is from RNAcentral. Lineage: Eukaryota; Fungi.
GCAAACUUGGUCAUUUAGAGGAAGUAAAAGUCGUAACAAGGUUUCCGUAGGUGAACCUGCGGAAGGAUCAUUAACGCAUCCCGUGGCGGGUGACGGCGAGCCCUGCUCCGCCCCGGUAGGGGUGUGCAGCGGGCCGCGUCCCCGUCCCAACCUUUCACAAACCCCACGUGCACGUUUGCGGGAGUAAGGGGGCUCUCCGCCCCCCGAAACCGCUUCACAAACACUUGCAAACCGAGAAUGAUACCGAGCGACCUCUGAGUCGUGUGAAAACUGAAACAACUUUCAACAACGGAUCUCUUGGCUCUCGCAUCGAUGAAGAACGCAGC